RNAcentral lists this ribosomal RNA (497 nucleotides) under uncultured bacterium. Its description in RNAcentral is "partial 16S ribosomal RNA". It matches the Rfam family "Bacterial small subunit ribosomal RNA", at positions 28 to 507 of the family's 1533-position model. The record is from RNAcentral.
GAUGAACGCUGGCGGCGUGCCUAAUACAUGCAAGUCGAGCGAACGGACGAGAAGCUUGCUUCUCUGAUGUUAGCGGCGGACGGGUGAGUAACACGUGGAUAACCUACCUAUAAGACUGGGAUAACUUCGGGAAACCGGAGCUAAUACCGGAUGAUAUUUUGAACCGCAUGGUUCAAAAGUGAAAGACGGCCUUGCUGUCACUUAUAGAUGGAUCCGCGCUGCAUUAGCUAGUUGGUAAGGUAACGGCUUACCAAGGCAACGAUGCAUAGCCGACCUGAGAGGGUGAUCGGCCACACUGGAACUGAGACACGGUCCAGACUCCUACGGGAGGCAGCAGUAGGGAAUCUUCCGCAAUGGGCGAAAGCCUGACGGAGCAACGCCGCGCGAGUGAUGAAGGUCUUCGGAUCGUAAAACUCUGUUAUUAGGGAAGAACAUAUGUGUAAGUAACUGUGCACAUCUUGACGGUACCUAAUCAGAAAGCCACGGCUAACUACGUG